Molecule: long non-coding RNA, 3336 nt
Organism: Brassica napus (rape)
Lineage: Eukaryota; Viridiplantae; Streptophyta; Magnoliopsida; Brassicales; Brassicaceae
Exons: 2
Source: RefSeq, a predicted model, not a curated record
UCCUAACUAUUUUAUUAAUUAAAUUAUUAUAACAAUAUAUCACAUAAUUAAUUAUAUUACCAGAAUAAUAAUAUUGCAGAUUUUUAUUUAUUAGUUAAUCAACAUUAACUUUGUACCAUUUAUAAAAUCGAAAUGUAAAAUAAUCGGGUUUGCAUAUGGUUAAAAGUUUGGUUUAGUCUAUUUUGUUAUUUUUAUCUUAAUUUCAAUUGGUGAAAAAUUAUGUAGCCAAACACAUAAUUCAAAAACAUAGUCUAUAUCAACAAAAUAAUAACUUAAAUUAAAAAUUAUGUAACCAAACACAUAACUUAAAUAACAUAUUAUAUAUAUUGUCACUUUAUUUUUCACACCAUAUAACUAUUUUACUAAAUAAAAAACUUUUUUUCUAUUUCACUUAAUUUAGCCAAAUACAUAGAAAUAGUUUUAAAUUUUUUUUUUAAUAAAAUAAGUUAGGCAUAGACACUCAGGUACCCAUUCACGUAUGGAUUGUUUCUUUCGGGUAUCAGAUUUUUUGGGUUUGAAAUUAGGCCCCGCUUGGAUAUUAUAAAUUUAUGUAUGAGUUUCGAGUUGGGUUCUUUCGAUGUGUUCGGUUCUGGUGUAUAGAAAACUAAAAAUAUCAAAAUAACUAAUAUAUCUGAAACGGGUUCAAAAUAUUUGUACCAAAAAUAACUAUACUAUCCGAUUCAAUCUGAUCUUUUGAAUAAAAUUAAUUAUAUAGCAACACAUCUAAAAUAUAUAACACUAAUCUUAAAAAAUAAAUAUUAAUUUAUAAAAAUAAAAUAACUCAUAUUUGCGUGGACGCGCAUGUCAAGCUCUUGUUCUUAUUUAAAACUCAGAUCAAAUUACAUAUUGAAUCACCGGUUUACCGUUUUGACAGCGAAUCCGGGUCAGGUUUAGUGCUGAUUUUAAUAGACAAUUUUCGAUCAAAUCGACUUUUUUAUUAAACUGGGAUUAGUUGUUACUGUUUAUGUUAAAAUUGGAAAAUAGAGAGAAGAGAUGUGAUUUCACAUUUUCUGUUUUUUUUGUGAACCAAAAUACAUAUUUAUUUCCAUUUUCUUGGCUACACAAUGGGAUUCCACACUGUUGCUUCUUUCAUGAGAAAACUAUGGGCUCACCUGCCCAUGUGACGCGGAUCCAUAAACGUAUCAAUAAAAUGUCGUUUUCUUCGUAGCCCUUUGUCACAGUCACUUUGUAGAUUUAACAAAAACAAUUAAAUAAAAGAAAUUAAAUAAACCUCGCAGGAAGGCUAGAGGAGGAUGAUAGGCACGUGUACGGUCCCCUCUUGUUACCUCUCCGAUCACUGACAGCUCAAUAAAUCCAACUAUUAAAGGCCGUCGAUUUCACCACUUUAUGUAUCCAUUCAAGGCUCGACACGUCAAACACAGGGAGGGGGAGGGGAGAUGGAAGAAACAUGCUACUACUGUUGACGUAGAUAUACAUUACUAUCGAUACUUUAAUUUGUAUGUACACUACUGGUAGUUUUUCCCCACUGAAAAGAUGAUUCUAUCAAAGGGAAAUUGCCAAAAAAAAAGAAAAGGAAAUUGCCCAUUAUAUACUUAAAAAAAAUAUGUAAAUUUGCUAUUUAAUCAAAAACAUCCAUUCUCUUUUUUUUUUUUAAUAUCUCUCUUGCCUCUCACUAAAAAUCUAAUUAUGUAGCAAAUAAACCUUUAUAUUGAAAAAAAAACCUUUAUAUUGAUUUAAAACUGAUAUAUGAACCAACAAUUAUAAUCUCAGAGAUCAAUAACUGGCGGAGAAAUAAAAGAGAUCAAUAACUGGUGGAGAAAAUAAAAGUUCCCAAAAACAUAAGUCCACAAAUGAAAAACAAGAUGAAUACAUGAAACAAACAUCUAACCUAGUAAACACCAUACUUAUAAUUAGUACCAUCAAAUAUAAAUGAUUGAAGCUCAUAACUUCAAGGAACAAAUUUUCAUGAAAACAUCAGCAAGGUUUCUUUAAGAGAGACAAAUCGAGGAAACAAAACAAAGGGAAUCCACUAACUUACGAAACCUCUUAUAGCGAAUAGUUCAUGCAAUUAAGAGACCAAAUCUUCUACCACCAGCAAGACAAAAUUUUUAAAUUCCUAAGCCUUCAGCCGGAAAUGGUGAUGGUGGAGUAAGACCGAUUUGAAACGCCUGAAUGAAGCAUGACGAAGAGAUGCAUCUCGAUAAGAUCUUAAGGUAAAUGAAAAAGAACGUAUCAAAUCAACCACUGAUUCAACCACUCUGGAGAAACCGAGAAGGAAAAAAUUCAAAAUCAGAGCGGUACGGAGACGGGACUGAGACGCUAACACGUUUCAGGUUCGAUCCACCUGUCUGCGCGAAACUAAGUCACAAUUAUCCUGAUCACCUAACACGGAUAUGAGUCUAUGCUUUAGGGUUCAUUUGAAUACCCGGAGAGAGGAUCUCUCCGUGGACUGCACUUUUCUUUGGAGGAUUAGUCUGGGCUUCUCCAUGGGCCUGGGAUACACCAGGUUAAUCAAAAGAAAAAAAAUCUAGAAAGUAGUCAAACCGUUGAGCAGAAAUAGAGAAAAAAUGAAGAUCCGAUCCGAAGAAAAACAUAGUAACAAGCUAACCCGACUCCGGCUCAAGGGAGCAGCCGGAAUUGCGGAACCGACGAUAUCAAUUUGAAUAAAAACUAGAGAGAAGUCAGAGAUUUUGAAGAGAGAGAGAGAAGUGAGGACAUUUCAACUGUGCAUUCAUCAUCAACUAACUAGUUGAAUCCGACAAAAGUUUAAGAUGAUAUCCUAAUCCAAAAGGGGAAGAGGCUGAGCGGUGAGGUUUCUCCUUGUUUGCGUCGUAUUGAUGUAAGAUAUGAGGACGCUCGAGUUUUGUCUUGGUUACUGCUUCUAGUCAGAGGAUUCAUAUAUCUACCCAGGAUUAAGUCUUUGCCACCGUUGGUUCCUCUCCUUUCCUUCUUCCAAGAGAUGAAUAGAGGGCGUCUCUAGUUUGUGGUCGUCCUGGCAGCCUCGGUGGCCCAGUCAAUCAUGGCAAUAUAAAGAGGUCUCCUUGGGUGGCUCUCGGUUAUAUCAUCUCUGGGGCUCUAAUUUUUAGAGCAGUACAAAGAGGUCAAAUUCUUCCAAUUCAUGUUGUGUUGUGUUAAGGAGGAUUUUUCUUAUUUUUCCGUUGUGUGAUACUUGUAGUCUCAAGUUCUGGUCUUGCUCAGAUCUAAUACUUGUGUAGUUCUUGUUGGUCUUUAGGUUAUGUUUUUGGUUAAUGAAUAUCAGGUUUGUCUCUACGGAUUUGGAGCUUGUGACUUUGAAGAUUUAUAAUUUUUUUUAUCAAUGUAUUUGAACAAUGUAUCACAUUUAAAAGCCAAAUGAUGUAUAUUUUUCUAUUAUCA